UACGGGGGGGGCAAGCGUUGUUCGGAAUUACUGGGCGUAAAGGGCUCGUAGGCGGCCAACUAAGUCAGACGUGAAAUCCCCCGGCUUAACCUGGGAACUGCGUCUGAUACUGGAUGGCUCGAGUUUGGGAGAGGGAUGCGGAAUUCCAGGUGUAGCGGUGAAAUGCGUAGACAUCUGGAGGAACACCGGUGGCGAAGGCGGCAUCCUGGACCAACACUGACGCUGAUGAGCGAAAGCCAGGGGAGCAAACGGG
This 253-nucleotide ribosomal RNA is filed under the name uncultured bacterium. RNAcentral's name for it is "partial 16S ribosomal RNA". It matches the Rfam family "Bacterial small subunit ribosomal RNA", at positions 524 to 776 of the family's 1533-position model. The record is from RNAcentral.